RNAcentral lists this long non-coding RNA (267 nucleotides) under Lathyrus oleraceus (garden pea). RNAcentral's name for it is "Pisum sativum (pea) long non-coding RNA (PSAT_LNC040906)". The record is from RNAcentral. Lineage: Eukaryota; Viridiplantae; Streptophyta; Magnoliopsida; Fabales; Fabaceae.
UCACACUGGGGGAAAAGAAUUCCAAAGGAAAAUAAAUCCAUUGGAGAGACACAAGCUGACUCCUGAGGAGAAGCAAAAGAACACUCCACUGGGGAAGUAACAAAGAAAUGAGAUGUUACCAGGCAUGCGGAUAACAAACUCAGGAAAAUCUGACUCCACAAGGGGGACCGAGGUCAUAAUAGGGAGCAGAAAGGAGGGAACACCAAUGAUACCGGUUACUGGGUAUAUAAUAGGUGACCGACCAAGGCGUGAAUUGGUGUGUGUUCC